ACGCUGGCGGCGCGCUUAAUACAUGCAAGUCGAACGAGAAGCCAGAGCUUGCUCUGGUGGAAAGUGGCGAACGGGUGAGUAACACGUGAGAAACCUGCCCCAAAGAUUGGGAUAAGCCUUGGAAACGAGGUCUAAAUACCAAAUACCUUCUUUUUAACACAUGUUAAAAAGAAGAAAUGCUCCGGCGCUUUGGGAUGGUCUCGCGAUCUAUCAGCUUGUUGGUGAGGUAACGGCUCACCAAGGCAUCGACGGAUAGCUGGUCUGAGAGGAUGUCCAGCCACAUUGGAACUGAGACACGGUCCAAACUCCUACGGGAGGCAGCAGUAGGGAAUCUUGCACAAUGAGGGAAACCUUGAUGCAGCGACGCCGCGUGCGGGACGAAGGCCCUAGGGUUGUAAACCGCUUUCAGUAGGGACGAAAGUGACGGUACCUACAGAAGAAGCCCCGGCCAACUAUGUG
This 459-nucleotide ribosomal RNA is filed under the name uncultured bacterium. RNAcentral's name for it is "bacterial SSU rRNA". It matches the Rfam family "Bacterial small subunit ribosomal RNA", at positions 33 to 507 of the family's 1533-position model. The record is from RNAcentral.